UACAGAGGUCCCAAGCGUUGUUCGGAUUCACUGGGCGUAAAGGGUGCGUAGGCGGUCGGGUAAGUCUGAUGUGAAAUCUCACAGCUUAACUGUGAAACUGCAUUGGAUACUAUCCGGCUCGAGGAAUGGAGGGGAGACUGGAAUACUUGGUGUAGCAGUGAAAUGCGUAGAGAUGUGGAGGAAUACCGAUGGCGAAGGCAGCCUCCUGGGCCAACACUGACGCUCAUGCACGAAAGCGUGGGGAGCAAACAGG
This 253-nucleotide ribosomal RNA is filed under the name uncultured bacterium. RNAcentral's name for it is "partial 16S ribosomal RNA". It matches the Rfam family "Bacterial small subunit ribosomal RNA", at positions 524 to 776 of the family's 1533-position model. The record is from RNAcentral.